UACGUAGGGGGCUAGCGUUAUCCGGAAUUACUGGGCGUAAAGGGUGCGUAGGUGGUUUCUUAAGUCAGAGGUGAAAGGUUACGGCUCAACCCGUACUGGCUCUGGAAACUGAUCAGCUAGAGAACAGAAGAGGACGGCGGAACUCCAUGUGUAGCGGUAAAAUGCGUAGAUAUAUGGAAGAACACCGGUGGCGAAGGCGGCCGUCUGGUCUGGAUUCUGACACUGAAGCACGAAAGCGUGGGGAGCAAAUAGG
Molecule: ribosomal RNA, 253 nt
Filed under: Holdemanella biformis DSM 3989
Lineage: Bacteria; Bacillati; Bacillota; Erysipelotrichia; Erysipelotrichales; Erysipelotrichaceae
Description: partial 16S ribosomal RNA
Rfam family: Bacterial small subunit ribosomal RNA
Source: RNAcentral